GACGAACGCUGGCGGCGUGCCUAAUACAUGCAAGUUGAGCGCUGAAGGGUGGUACUUGUUCCGACUGGAUUAGCAGCGAACGGGUGAGUAACGCGUGGGUAAUCUACCUUUAAGCGUGGGACAACAUUUGGAAACGAAUGCUAAUACCGCAUAAAAACUUUAAACACAUGGUUUAAUAUUGAAAGAUGCAAUUGCAGCACCCAAAGGAUAUCCCGCGUUGUAUUAGCUAGGUUGUGAGGUAAAGGCUCAACAAGGCGAAGAUACAUAACCGGACUGAGAAGGUGGACGGGCCAAUUGGGAAUGAGACAAGGGCCAAAACCCCAAGGGAGGGAGCCGUAGGGAAACUUCCGGAAUGGACCAAAGUCUGGACGGGGAAACGCCGGUGAGGGAAGAAGGUUUUCGGAUCCUUAAAACCUGUUGGUAAGGGAGAACGAUGGUGGGAGUUAACUGCGCACCACGUGACGGUAACUAAUCAGAAAGCGACGGCUAACUACGUG
This 497-nucleotide ribosomal RNA is filed under the name uncultured bacterium. RNAcentral describes it as "partial 16S ribosomal RNA". It matches the Rfam family "Bacterial small subunit ribosomal RNA", at positions 28 to 507 of the family's 1533-position model. The record is from RNAcentral.